CCGAGAAGAAUGGCAAGCCUUCCUUGCCCAUGCUGCAUGUGUGUUUUCUCUAAACAUCACAGUUGCUGUAAAACUUUAAUAUGGUAAAGGCCAAAAGGGGCUUCCCAGACUGCAAAUGAAAGGCAGUAAGGCUCUCCUGUGACCCAGACUUCAGCUUAUCAUUAAUGCACCUCCUCGAAAGGUGCUUCACACACUUAGCCAGAUCUGCACAGAGGAGAUUAAUGUAAAAACAAGCAGAAAAUGAAGAAAAAGAGCAAAGGCGUCUCGUAAAAUCCAAUCACCAUCUGCCUCUUCAAAUCCAGCAGCACUAGGGGAGGAAAGCUCCAAGAGAAAGAGAGAGGGGCAAGUAAAUUUUGAUGGGAGAAAAUGCAGCAAUAAAUCUGAAGUAUUAACAUACAAUGGAAGACCUUCAUAAGUUACAAGCCACUGGAGAAGAGAAGCGUGUGUACCAGAACACUGCUCAGAUGGAGGAGUGGGAAAAAGAUCUUCAAGAGGAAGACAUUUUUUCUUCAGUUUUGCAAUAUUCUAUCCACCUACACAAAAGCCAAGAAACAUUGCAUGCCUAGUGUGGACUUCAAAAAUAAUAUAGAAAUGGAAAUAAUAAUUCUCUUAAAAGCUCCAUUAUACAGAAUACAGAGUAAAAUGUUCAUGCUCAAUUCCUCUCCCCUUUCCACUCACCUACCCCAAAGAUAACUACUUUAGAAAGUUUAUAGUUUUUCUAUGUAUUUACAUAUUUUUCAAAUAUAAAUGAUUACAUAUUUACAUUAUCAGCCCAUAAAGCUUUUUUUCUCUUUAAACAGCUACAUGUAUACUAGAUUAUACAUGAACCCUAUUUGGCCACCCUCCUUUGGAUGGACAAUGGAGGUUUGCUAUCUGUAUUAUUAAAAACAUUCUUCCAUGAUCAUCCUUUUUUAAGUCAAAGCCCUGUAUGUCCAUGAAUCACUACAUAAACUUAAGAAAGGAAGACAAAUAAUUAAAGUUAACUUAAUGAAUAGUUUUCCUUUAUAAAGAGAAUUGUGAAAUGUACCAAUGGAAUUAAGACCGAAUUAAAACACACUUUUCAAUAAAUAUAUGAAAGUAUUUUUCAAAGUAGACAUCACUUCUCUAAUAUGCAUAAGGAAGACAGUUUAUAAAGGGAGAAAUAUUCUGAUCUUGAACCUGGAUCAAAAAAAAAAAAAGAAGAAAGAAAGGGAGAAAUAGGAAAGAGACAGAUAAAAUCUUUAUGCUUUCCAAAGCUCAGUAACACAGUAUUAAUACAUUUGUCAAUACAUUUUCUAAAACAAAGCAUCUCAGCUUUUGAAAGUUCAAAAAUAUUGAUUUGGGUAAAUUUGCCAAGUUUAAGAAUUUGCCAAGUUUAAGAAUUAUUACUUAAAAUAUAGUGGCAGAAACUUUCUUCAGAUCCUCUAAUUUCUUAAUUUCCAGCGAAAAAAAUAUUAGCUCUGUAGACUACACAGAUUUUAGGAACCAGAAGUUAAAUUUCAUAGAAUAAUACCCUUGUCCUACAAUCCCCUAACUUCUAGAAUAUUGUUACAAAAUACUUUUGAAAGUACAUUACAUUUUUUAUCCAUAUAUAUGUGGGUCAACUUAUAUUAAGUCAAGGCAGAGAUCAGAUAUAGGGGAUAGUUCAUCUUCUUUUCCCUGCUCCUACAGUAAAAGUCGCCAAACUUGCAAUUCUUUUAAGACUGUAU
Non-coding RNA from Microcebus murinus (gray mouse lemur), 1688 nucleotides. NCBI's taxonomy places the organism in Eukaryota, Metazoa, Chordata, Mammalia, Primates, Cheirogaleidae. The record is from RefSeq and is a predicted model, not a curated record.